Molecule: transfer RNA, 67 nt
Filed under: marine eukaryotic metagenome
Rfam family: tRNA
About the family: Transfer RNA (tRNA) molecules are approximately 80 nucleotides in length. Their secondary structure includes four short double-helical elements and three loops (D, anti-codon, and T loops).
Source: RNAcentral
GUCGAUAGCUCAAUUGGUAGAGCAGUUGCCUUUUAAGCAAUUGGUUCUGGGUUCGAGUCCCAGUCGA